Molecule: unclassified non-coding RNA, 196 nt
Filed under: uncultured fungus
Lineage: Eukaryota; Fungi
Description: sequence contains ITS1
Source: RNAcentral
UUAACUUAUUUGUAUAUUACUCGGACAACAUAAAAAUCAAGAGUUUAGGGUCCUCUGGCAGGCGCGGACCAGCCUAGGCCAGUGGUCAUAAGACGGGCCUGCCAAAGCAACAAAGGUAAUAUAGACAAAGGGUGGGAGAUCUACCCCGGAGGGCAAUUUCUCUGUAAUGAUCCUUCCGCAGGUUCACCUACGGAAA